UCGGAAGCGCGAUUUAUCGCGCGCACACUCCGCGAAGAAAGAGUCGUCCCGCUGGUGGUCGUUAAUUCUUGUCGCACGUGUCCCACCGCUUUGAUCACGCGAGUAUGCUAAUUGCACCGUCCACCGCCCACUCGCUGCCAGUGCAUGGAAAAUCGUUGACACCAAAAGUAAGAGGAAGAUGAAGGAAGAGAAGAAGGAUUAUGAUGAUGGAAGAGAGGAGAAAUAGCAGAAAGACCAAGAGAAACUUUGAGUCGAGUGAAAUGAUUUUGCCAUUCUCUAUUGGCGUGUAUAUUUUGUUGGCACAUGCGCGAGUACCGAUUCCAAAGCAUUGAGAGACACAUACUAGGAAUAUAGGUUAACUUGUCUUGUCUAAUUUUAUUGCGAUCUUCUUCGACACAAAUUAAAUGGAAGAAAAGUAAAAUAGAUACAUUGAAUUGAUGGUUUAAUAAUUUGUUGAAGUAUGAAGAUUAAUUUUUAUGAAAAUAAUUAGAUAGAAAUAAAAAAUAGAAUUUAUCUUAGAAAGAGACAUUUCCUCAUUUCCAUAUUUCCAUAGUAUAAUUAAAAGUAGAAUUUAAAUUUAAUAAAUAAAUUACAAUAAUGAUAAAAUAAAUUGUAGUAAAUAUUACAUUUUGUUAGACUCAUAUCUGGAAAUGCAAUUGUAACUACAAAAAAAAAAAAUCAUAAAUCUUCAAUUCAUAGAAAUGUGAUUUAAUUAUCUAAAAUCAGAAAUUAUUCAUUAUUCAGAGAAAAUACAACAAAUACCAUGAUUAUCAAUACUUAGUUUAAAUUAUUUUCAAAUAAUUCAAUUUUUUAAGAAAUUAAUAAAAUCAUAGAAAGAAUAUCUAAUAUUCAAAAGAAGAAUAUCUCGUCGACAAAAAUGAUUCAUUGCAGUUUCCGUGAAAAUAUAACUUAAUGGACCAAAACGAAUUUCUAUGGAGAAGAAAGUAUGCCUGUGGUUUUCCAGGCGGGUAAAAAAGACGGUGCACGCGCCGCUUGCAGAAACGUUUCGUAAAUUCGAAGAAUGGCUGGAAAGAAGUGGCCGCCGCACAAAGCGUGCCGACACAACCGGGCUCGUUUGCCCCGCGGAGGUAAUUGUCUUCUUGGCCGCACGAGAGCGCACGUAUUCCGCAAGCAAAUACACACCAAGAGGCUGGCUUACAUACAGCGUUCUCACGGGAUGGAGAAUAAACACCAUGGUCCGGUCUGUUACCGACUUUUCAACUUUUCGUUUCCUGGACACGGUUUGUUGGAACAUUCCUCACUCGUUCAGUUGUCGAUUUGUGGAUAACGAAUUGCAAUGAAUAGAAGAAACUUCUAUAUUGUUUAUAUUGAUGUGUUAUAAUUUGUGUUCUCUUUUUCAAGAGAAGAAUUCUUGUAAUUGUAAAUCAUGUUAAGAAGAUAGAAAAUGAAUGAAAUUAGAAAAAUGAAAAAAAAAAGGAAAAACAACACAAUUAUUCUUGAAUUUAAAAUA
This is a long non-coding RNA of Apis laboriosa (Himalayan honeybee), 1471 nucleotides long. RefSeq lists it as uncharacterized. NCBI's taxonomy places the organism in Eukaryota, Metazoa, Arthropoda, Insecta, Hymenoptera, Apidae. The record is from RefSeq and is a predicted model, not a curated record. The transcript has 3 exons.